This is a non-coding RNA of Pelobates cultripes (western spadefoot toad), 862 nucleotides long. NCBI's taxonomy places the organism in Eukaryota, Metazoa, Chordata, Amphibia, Anura, Pelobatidae. The record is from the annotation of a GenBank genome assembly.
AUAAUAGGUUGCAUCUGCAAAGGAUGCAAUAGUUUGGGGAUGAUCAUACUUUUAACUAGGCAGGCUCUUCCCAUUAGAGAAACUGAUAGGUAUAUCAAUUUAUUUAGUUGGUAUACUAUAUUUAUAAUAGUUUUUGAGAUGUUACAGGUAUAAAGAAGGUUGAUGUUUUCAGGACCGCAUGAAAUAUGAUUCUAUUGCCAUUGUAUGGGGAUCAUAGUUUGGAGAAUUGUAUUGUUGUAGAUGCUUAAUGGCUGAUGAAACAUAUGACUUAAUUAUGGGAUUAUACUUUACAGUAUGUUUAGGAUAGGGUUCAUGGUUUACAUUUGGUUAAGCAAUGUAGAGUAAAAUAUUGUCUGUAAGUGCUGUUAGCUGUAUGGUUGAGAUACCAAUCGGGAUGCCCUGAAAGGAGAGUAAAGCAUGAAGCAAGUGUAUGAUGGUCUUAGGAUAAAUUAAAGAGGAGAGAAGAAAGACCUCCACUGUACAUUGUCACCUCCAUUGCGUCCAAGCUGUUUGUGGAGACUUUAUAUCUUGGAGAGGUGUGUAAGUUCAGAAUAUGUUUCAAGAAAAGUAUGCCAAAAAAUCAAUAAUUUAGGACUUGGAGGAGGUAUGGCCAGGCAACCAAAUCAAAAGCUUUGUGUGCUUCAAGACCGAGUAGAAGGGGAAGUAAUAGGAAAAUGCUGGGUUAAUGUUAUUGCUGCUUUAGCCAUUUUGAUCUCCUGCAUGAAUUGCCUUGUUCAGAAAAAUCUAAACUGAAGGGAGUGAAGAAUAUGAGGUAAAACCUGCUGUAAUUGAUUCUCAAUAAAUUUUGUUAGCAUUUUUUUAUAUUUUGACUUAAUAGAGUUAUCAGUCUGUAAAAUUCCAG